RNAcentral lists this small RNA (751 nucleotides) under Fusarium solani. RNAcentral's name for it is "eukaryotic LSU rRNA". The stretch from base 523 to 751 matches the Rfam family "Eukaryotic large subunit ribosomal RNA", at positions 1 to 233 of the family's 3401-position model. The record is from RNAcentral. Lineage: Eukaryota; Fungi; Ascomycota; Sordariomycetes; Hypocreales; Nectriaceae.
UCGUAACAAGGUCUCCGUUGGUGAACCAGCGGAGGGAUCAUUACCGAGUUAUACAACUCAUCAACCCUGUGAACAUACCUAAAACGUUGCUUCGGCGGGAACAGACGGCCCUGUAACAACGGGCCGCCCCCGCCAGAGGACCCCUAACUCUGUUUUUAUAAUGUUUUUCUGAGUAAACAAGCAAAUAAAUUAAAACUUUCAACAACGGAUCUCUUGGCUCUGGCAUCGAUGAAGAACGCAGCGAAAUGCGAUAAGUAAUGUGAAUUGCAGAAUUCAGUGAAUCAUCGAAUCUUUGAACGCACAUUGCGCCCGCCAGUAUUCUGGCGGGCAUGCCUGUUCGAGCGUCAUUACAACCCUCAGGCCCCCGGGCCUGGCGUUGGGGAUCGGCAGAAGCCCCCUGUGGGCACACGCCGUCCCUCAAAUACAGUGGCGGUCCCGCCGCAGCUUCCAUUGCGUAGUAGCUAACACCUCGCAACUGGAGAGCGGCGCGGCCAUGCCGUAAAACACCCAACUUCUGAAUGUUGACCUCGAAUCAGGUAGGAAUACCCGCUGAACUUAAGCAUAUCAAUAAGCGGAGGAAAAGAAACCAACAGGGAUUGCCCCAGUAACGGCGAGUGAAGCGGCAACAGCUCAAAUUUGAAAUCUGGCUCUCGGGCCCGAGUUGUAAUUUGUAGAGGAUGCUUUUGGUGAGGUGCCUUCCGAGUUCCCUGGAACGGGACGCCAUAGAGGGUGAGAGCCCCGUCUGGUUGGA